This 155-nucleotide non-coding RNA is filed under the name Halioglobus sp. HI00S01. The record is from RNAcentral. Lineage: Bacteria; Pseudomonadati; Pseudomonadota; Gammaproteobacteria; Cellvibrionales; Halieaceae. RNAcentral also lists the same sequence under 1 other name.
UCUCCCCGGCCCGUAUCAGGUGCCUGCCGCAUUCCGAGGAAUUGCUGGGUGGGUUAAAUGGGAAGCGUGCGACAGCGAUGUCGACACCACUGCCCCCGCAACGGUAUGCCGUCACUGACGGACAGUCCGACACCUGCCUGAUGCACUCACCGAUG